RNAcentral lists this ribosomal RNA (407 nucleotides) under uncultured prokaryote. RNAcentral describes it as "bacterial SSU rRNA". It matches the Rfam family "Bacterial small subunit ribosomal RNA", at positions 355 to 776 of the family's 1533-position model. The record is from RNAcentral. RNAcentral also lists the same sequence under 1 other name.
GGAGGAAUAUUGGGCAAUGGGGGAAACCCUGACCCAGCAACGCCGCGUGAAGGAAGAAGGCCUUCGGGUUGUAAACUUCUGUGACAGGGGACGAAAGAAAUGACGGUACCCUGAGAGGAAGCCACGGCAAACUACGUGCCAGCAGCCGCGGUAAUACGUAGGUGGCGAGCGUUGUCCGGAAUCACUGGGCGUAAAGGGCGCGUAGGCGGUUUUACAAGUCACAUGUGAAAUACCAGGGCUUAACUUUGGGGGUGCAUGUGAAACUGUAGGACUUGAGUGCAGUAGAGGUAAGCGGAAUUCCUGGUGUAGCGGUAAAAUGCGUAGAGAUCAGGAGGAACACCGGUGGCGAAGGCGGCUUACUGGGCUGCAACUGACGCUGAGGCGCGAAAGCGUGGGGAGCAAACAGG